Molecule: long non-coding RNA, 251 nt
Filed under: Elaeis guineensis (African oil palm)
Lineage: Eukaryota; Viridiplantae; Streptophyta; Magnoliopsida; Arecales; Arecaceae
Description: long non-coding RNA (EGUI_LNC055095)
Source: RNAcentral
CAACUCAUGGGGUCGACUUCUGUGGCACAGAAUAAAAAAUGAUUAUUCUAUAAUUUUGAUGUACAUAGCAACAGAGGUCAACUCAUAGGGUCGACUCAUGCACAAGGAUCGACUCAAUUGGGUGUGCCAGCCAAAAAAUAGUGUGCCGUUCAACUCUAUUUGACAUGAGUCAACUCAUGAGGUCGACUCAAUUUUAUAAAUAUUAUUUUCUUUCAAAAUAUACAUCCAAAAAAUAUAAAACUUUCUCCAAU